RNAcentral lists this ribosomal RNA (408 nucleotides) under Aeromonas hydrophila. RNAcentral's name for it is "bacterial SSU rRNA". It matches the Rfam family "Bacterial small subunit ribosomal RNA", at positions 52 to 453 of the family's 1533-position model. Lineage: Bacteria; Pseudomonadati; Pseudomonadota; Gammaproteobacteria; Aeromonadales; Aeromonadaceae. The record is from RNAcentral.
UACCAUGCAAGUCGAGCGGCAGCGGGAAAGUAGCUUGCUACUUUUGCCGGCGAGCGGCGGACGGGUGAGUAAUGCCUGGGAAAUUGCCCAGUCGAGGGGGAUAACAGUUGGAAACGACUGCUAAUACCGCAUACGCCCUACGGGGGAAAGCAGGGGACCUUCGGGCCUUGCGCGAUUGGAUAUGCCCAGGUGGGAUUAGCUAGUUGGUGAGGUAAUGGCUCACCAAGGCGACGAUCCCUAGCUGGUCUGAGAGGAUGAUCAGCCACACUGGAACUGAGACACGGUCCAGACUCCUACGGGAGGCAGCAGUGGGGAAUAUUGCACAAUGGGGGAAACCCUGAUGCAGCCAUGCCGCGUGUGUGAAGAAGGCCUUCGGGUUGUAAAGCACUUUCAGCGAGGAGGAAAGGU